This 240-nucleotide ribosomal RNA is filed under the name uncultured bacterium. RNAcentral's name for it is "partial 16S ribosomal RNA". It matches the Rfam family "Bacterial small subunit ribosomal RNA", at positions 524 to 760 of the family's 1533-position model. The record is from RNAcentral.
UACGAGGGGGGCAAGCGUUGUUCGGAAUUAUUGGGCGUAAAGGGUGCGUAGGCGGUUUGAUAAGUCAUCUGUGAAAUCUCUGGGCUCAACCCAGAGUCUGCAGGCGAAACUGUCGGGCUUGAGUAUGGGAGAGGUGAGUGGGAAUUUCCGGUGUAGCGGUGAAAAUGCGUAGAGAUCGGAAAGAACACCACGGCGAAAGCAGCUCUCGCUGGGCCGACACUGACACUGAGAGACGAAAGC